AUAAAACUAAAUUAAGCUUAAAAAAGCCCCAAUUUCAACUGAACCAAGAUCAUCAUCCCCAAACACAGAUCCCAACAAACCCAUCAUCAGUACAGCUAUUUCUAACUACAUAUAUAGCAAAUGAAGCAACGAUUAAGCUCUAAUAACGAAAAAAUUUCAGAACCCUAAUUUUAACAUUUGGGGAUAAAGACUGCAGCCUUAAGCAGUAAAAGCCUUAGAUCGAAACACCAAAAUAAGAAAAUACCAGAUAUCAGUUUCCAGAGAUGACCGUUGAAGCUCGCCUAUGAACGGCCGGCGAAGAAGUCCGAUGAGGAGAUUAGUAGUAAUUUGUUAUCGAGGUUUAUAUAUAUAUAUAAU
RNAcentral lists this long non-coding RNA (357 nucleotides) under Panax ginseng (ginseng). RNAcentral's name for it is "long non-coding RNA (PGIN_LNC006888)". The record is from RNAcentral. Lineage: Eukaryota; Viridiplantae; Streptophyta; Magnoliopsida; Apiales; Araliaceae.